RNAcentral lists this ribosomal RNA (253 nucleotides) under uncultured bacterium. RNAcentral's name for it is "partial 16S ribosomal RNA". It matches the Rfam family "Bacterial small subunit ribosomal RNA", at positions 524 to 776 of the family's 1533-position model. The record is from RNAcentral.
UACGUGGGGCGCAAACGUUGUUCGGAAUCACUGGGCGUAAAGGGCGUGUAGGCGGUUCGGUAAGUGGGAUGUGAAAUCCCCCGGCUUACCCGGGGAACUGCAUCCCAUACUGCUGGACUUGAGUGCGGGAGAGGAUGGAGGAAUUCCUGGUGUAGCGGUGAAAUGCGUAGAUAUCAGGAGGAACACCUGUGGCGAAGGCGUCCAUCUGGCCCGUUACUGACGCUGAUGCGCGAAAGCUAGGGGAGCAAACGGG